CGUUCAAAAACUCGGUUACAAAAGGAAUCUUCUCUCUCUCUCUCUCUCUCUCUCUCUCUCUAUCUCUCUAACCACCCUCCUUGAUCGGCAUCUCCUCCGCCGUCUCCCCAUUUUCCACGGUGUCUGAGAGCGGAGAAAUCGUAUUGGUAACACUACUGCCGACCAAAAUUUCAGAUUAAGCAGAAUAGCGCCUCUAUGGAAGUUGCACCUCAGAGUUCGGAAGCCCCAGUAACCAAGGCGGCUGAGGAUUCUGGAAAUGAUGCCAAUGGUGAUAAGGUUAUGAAUGGAGAUGCAAUUCAAGUAGCAAAAGAAAGUAAGAACGAAGAGGAGGAAAAUUCUCUGGGUGGGGAGUUUAUAAAAGUAGAAAAGGAGCCUCUGGAGGGGGAGGAUACUCCUCCAGCCAAAACAGCAUUCGUAGAGGAGGAUAAACCAACUAUUUCUGAAAGAAGUGCAAGCAAUCCGAGCAGAGAAUUAUUGGAGGCCCAAGAGAAGUCGAGAGAUUUUGAGCUUGAAAUUGAGAGAUUAGCUGGAAAUUUGAAGCAUCUAGAGUCGGAGAAUUCAAGGUUGCAGGAUGAGGUAUUACUCACAAGUCAGAAGCUCGAGAAAAGUGAAGAGAAGUAUGAAGUGCUUGAACUCGAUCUUAAGAAAUCGAAGGAGCAGAUCGUUGAAUCUGAAGAGAAAUAUAGUUCGCAGCUCAACAGUUUGCAAGAGGCAUUGCAAACUCAAGAAGCGAAGAACAAGGAGUUGGUUGCGGUGAAAGAAGCAUUUGAUAGUUUGAGCAAUGAUUUUGAGAAUUCCCGGAAGCAGAUUCAAGAGUUGGAACAAAAAUUGAAGAUAUCUGGAGAUGAAGCAUUGAAAUUUGAAGAGCUUCACAAACAAAGUGGCUUAAAUGCUGAAUCUGAGGCAAAAAGAGCAUUAGAGUUUGAGAGGCUUCUUGAAGCAGAAAAACUGAGUGCCAAACAAAGAGAAGAUCAAAUCUCUUCCCUGCAAGAAAAUAUCAAGGAGUUAAAUGACAAUAUUGCUGAAAGCCAAAAGGUAGAAGAAGCACUUCGAACUACAGCAACUGAGCUUUCUGUUGUCCAGGGAGAUCUGGCGCUUUUUAAAUCUCAAGUGCUAGACUUGGAGAAGAAACUUUCCACGAAGGAAGGUUUAAUUGAAGAACUAACUAAGGAACUGGACAUCCGAAAGACUUCAGAAUCUAAGAUCAAGGAAGAUAUUUCAGCCGUUGAAAACCAAUUUGCUGCAACUAAAGAGGAUCUUCGUGUAAAGAUGUCUGAACUGGAAGAAAUCAGGUUGAAGCUUCAGGAAGAAAUGAACCAAAAAGAAUCUGCUGAAUCUGCUUUAAAAACUAAGGAAGCACAAGUCUCCGAUAUUCAAAAGGAACUUGCUGCAGCUAUCAAAGAUAAAGAAGAGCUUGAAGCGACUCUAGCAGAUUUCUCUAGCAAUGCCAAACAAAUGAAAGAUUUAUGCAACGAUCUUGAGGAAAAGCUGAAGCUUUCAGAUGAGAAUUUGGGAAAAGCUGAUUCUCUUUUGUCUCAAGCUCUGUCCAACAACAAGGAGUUGGAACAGAAGUUGAAGGAUUUGGAGGAUCUUCAUAAUGAAACUGGAGUUGUCGCUCAAACUGCCACUCAGAAGAAUCUUGAACUUGAAGAAAUUGUCCGAGCUUCAACUGCAUCAGCGGAAGAUGCAAAAUCACAAUUAAGAGAACUUGAGACUCGAUUUGCAGCAGCAGAACAAAAGAAUGUGGAGCUUGAACAACAGCUAAAUUUGUUAGGAUUGAAAAACAAUGAUGCCGAGAGGGAAGUUACUGAAUUAUCUGAGAAAAUAAAAGAACUCGAUACUAAAUUGAUCGAUGUUGAGGAGGAAAAGAAGCAGCUGAAUGACAAAAAGCAGGAAUAUCAGGAUAAGGUACUGCAACUAGAAUCCGCAAUACAGGAGUUAACGUCGCAGCAUCAAGAUCUUGAGAAGGAGCUGAAGGCCACAAUUGGGAAAUGUGCUGAACAUGAGGAACGAGCUAACAUGAAUCAUCAACGUAGCCUUGAACUUGAAGAACUGACCCAGAGAUCUAAUAACAAAAUUGAAGUUGCUGAUAAAAGGGUGAAUGAGUUGGAGUUGUUGCUUGAAGCAGAAAAAUACAGAAUUCAAGAGCUUGAAGGGCAAUUGAGUACUUUAGAAAAGAAAUGUGGGGAUGCUGAAGCAGAAUCCAAGAAAAACUUUGACCAUGUAUCUGUCUUGGCGUCUGAAAUAAAGUCAUAUGAAGAAAAAGUAGCAAGCCUUGAAACUGCAUUGAAUGUUGCCAAUGUAAAGGAAAAGGAAUUAACUGAAGAGAAGAAAAAAUUGGAAGAUGCAUUGAAUUUGUCCAACAGUCAGCUAGCUGAAUCAGAAAAUUUGGUGGAAGUCGUAAGGAACGAUCUGAUCAUUACUCAAAAGAAACUUGAAACUAUUGAGAGUGAUCUCCAGGCAACUGGUAUCAGAGAGGCUGAGGUGCUCAAAAAGCUGAAGUCUGCGGAAGAAAAACUAGAAGACCAAGUAAGAACAAUAGAGCAAACUACUACGAGAAACUUAGAACUUCAGUCGUUACAUGAGUCAUUAGCUAAAGAUUCUGAAACUAGAAUGCUGGAAGCAGUAGCAAAGUUCACCAACAAAGAAUCUGAGGCUAACUCUCUAGUGGAGAAAAUUAAAGUUCUUGAAGAACAAAUAAAAGCUUAUGAGGAUCAGAUAUCUGAAACCAAUGGAAGAUCUGCGGCUUUAAAGGAAGAAUUGGAUCAGACUUUGACAAAAUUGACUUCUUUGGAGAGUACAAAUGGUGAACUCAAAAAGCAUAGUUCGGAAGUUGAAAAUAAACUUUCUCAGAUUUCUUCAGAGAAUGAAUUAUUAUCAGACACAAACAUUCAACUCGAAACCAAGGUUAAUGAACUGCAGGAGUUAUUGAGCACUGCACUGUCUGAAAAGGAAACAGCUGAUCAACAGCUUGCUUCUCAUAAGAGCUCUAUUUCAGAACUAACAGAAAAGCACUCGAGAGCCAUCGAGUUCCAGUCUGUAACUGAAGCUCGUCAAGUGGAGACAGACCAGAAACUGCAGGAGGCCAUUCAAAAAUUCGAACAGAGAGAUUCGGAGGCAAAGGACUUGAGUGCGAAACUAAAGACAGCAGAGGACCAAAUAAAAGUGUUUGAAACAAGGGUUCUGGAAGCUUCAGAAAAUGUUGAAGCUCAUAAGAGUCAGCUCGAAGAGACACUUUUGAAAGUAAAGCAACUAGAAAGCACUGUAGAAGAAUUGCAAACCAAGAAAGUUGAUGCCGAAAAGGAGAUUGCAGGGCUAAAUGAGGCGAAGUUGAAGCUUACUCAAGAACUAGCUUUAUUUGAAUCUAAUUUGAGUGAUCUCCAGGCCAAGUUAUCAGCUGCAAACGUAGAAAAGGAUGAAACUGCUGAACGGCUUCAGACAGCAGAGGGCCAGAUUACAAUGGUUGAAGCAAAGGCUCUGGAAGCUUCUACAACUGCCGAAGCUUAUAAGAGUCAGCUCGAAGAGGCUCUUUCGAAAGUAAAGCAUCUAGAAACUAGCAUGCUGGAAGGAGUAGCAAAGUUCACCAACAAAGAAUCUGAGGCCAACUCUCUAAUAGAGAAAAUUAAAGUUCUUGAAGAACAAAUAAAAGCUUAUGAGGAUCAGAUAUCUGAAACCAAUGGAAGAUCUGCAACUUUAAAGGAAGAAUUGGACCAGACUUUGACAAAACUGACUUCUUUGGAGAGUACAAAUGGUGAACUCAAGAAGUACAGUUCGGAAAUUGAAAAUAAAGUUUCUCAGAUUUCAUCAGAGAAAGAAUUGUUAGUGGACACAAACAUUCAACUCAAAACCAAAGUUGAUGAACUUCAGGAGUUAUGGAACACUGCUCUUUCUGAAAAGGAAACUGCUGAUCAGCAGCUUGCUUCUCAUAAGAGCUCUAUUUCUGAAUUAACAGAAAAGCACUCGAGAGCCAUUGAGUUCCAGUCUGUAACUGAAGCUCGUCAAGUGGAGACAGAUCAGAAAUUGCAGGAGACCAUUCAAAAAUUAGAACAGAGAGAUUCGGAGGCUAAGGACUUGAGAGAGAAACUAAAGGCAGCAGAGGACCAGACAAAAUUGUUUGAAACGAAGGUUCUGGAAUCUUCAGCAGAUGUUGAAGCUCAUAAGAGUCAGCUCGAAGAGACUCUUUUGAAAGUAAAGCAACUAGAAAGCACUGUAGAAGAAUUGCAAACCAAGAAAGUUGAUGCUGAACAGGAGAUUGCAGGGCUAAAUGAGGCGAAGUUGAAGCUUACUCAAGAACUAGCCUUAUUUGAAUCUAAUUUGAGUGAACUCCAGGACAAGUUAUCAGCUGCAAACGUUGAAAAGGAUGAAACUGCUGAACGGCUUCAGACAGCAGAGGGUCAGAUUAAAUUGGUUGAAGCAAAGGCUCUGGAAGCUUCUACAAAUGCUGAAGCUUAUAAGAGUCAGCUCGAAGAGACUCUUUCGAAAGUAAAGCAUCUAGAAACUAGCAUGCUGGAAGCAGUAGCUAAGUUCGCCAACAAAGAAUCUGAGGCUAACUCUCUAAUGGAGAAAAUUAAAGUUCUUGAAGAACAAAUCAAAGUUUGUGAGGAUCAGAUAUCUGAAACCAAUGGAAGAUCUGCAGCUUUAAAGGAAGAAUUGGAUCAGACUUUGACAACAUUGGCUUCUUUGGAGAGUACGAACGGUGAACUCAAAAAGUAUAGUUCGGAAAUUGAAAACAAAGUUUCUCAGAUUUCUUCAGAGAAUGAAUUAUUAGUAGACACAAACAUUCAACUCAAAGCUAAGGUUAAUGAACUUCAGGGGUUAUUGAGCACUGCUCUUUCUGAAAAGGAAACUGUUGAUCAACAGGUUGCUUCUCAUAAGAGCUCUAUUUCUGAACUAACAGAAAAGCACUCUAGAGCCAUCGAGUUCCAAUCUGUAGCUGAAUCUCGUCAAGUGGAGACAGACCAGAAAUUGCAGGAGGCCAUUCAAAAGUUAGAACAGAGAGAUUCGGAGGCAAAGGACUUGAGUGCGAAACUAAAGACUGCAGAGGACCAUAUAAAAGUGUUUGAAACCAAGGUUCUGGAAGCUUCAGAAAAUGUUGAAGCUCACAAGAGUCAGCUCGAAGAGACUCUUUUGAAAGUAAAGCAACUAGAAAGCACGGUAGAAGAGUUGCAAACAAAGAAAGUUGAUGCUGAACAGAAGAAUGCAGGGCUAAAUGAGGCAAAGUUGAAACUUACUCAAGAACUAGCCCUAAUUGAAUCCAAUUUGAAUGACCUCCAGGCCAAGUUAUCAGCCGUCAAUAUUGAAAAGGAAGAAACUGCUGAACGGCUUCAGACAGCAGAGGAUCAGAUUAAGUUGGUUGAAGCAAAGGCUCAGGAAGCUUCUACAAAUGCUGAAGCUCAUAAGAGUAAGCUCGAAGAGACUCUUUUGAAAGUAAAGCAUCUAGAAAGCAUAGUAGAGGAGCUGGAAACCAAGGCAAUUAAUGCUGAAAAGGAGUGUGCAGGAUUAAGUGAGGCAAAUUUGAGACUUACUCAGGAAUUAGCCUCAUAUGAAUCUAACUUCAGUGAUCUCCAGACCAAGCUAUCUGCUGCAAACGUUGAAAGGGAUGAAACUGCUGAACGGCUCCGGGCAGCUGAGGGCCAGAUUAAAUUGUUUGAAGCGAAAGCUCAGGAAGCCUCCACAGAUGCUGAAGCUCUUAAAAGUCAGCUCGAAGAGACUCUUUUGAAAGUAAAGCAUCUAGAAAGCAUUGUAGAGGAGCUGCAAACCAAGGCAAUUCAUGCUGAAAAGGAGAAUAAAGGGUUGAAUGAAGCAAAUUUGAGACUGUCUCAGGACUUAACCUCGUAUGAAUCUAAUUUGAGCGAUCACCAGACCAAAUUAUCUGCUGCAAAUGCUGAAAGGGAUGAGACUAAUGAACGACUUCAGAUUGCAGAGAAGACUGUAAAUGAGUUGAAAUCACAGCUAGCUUUCGAAGAACAGAGACUACAGUCUCAGAUCGCUUCAAUGAUGGAAGACAACAACGUCCUCAAUGAGACAUACCAGAAGACCAAAAACGAGUUACAAUCGGAGAUAGCACAGCUGGAAGGAAAAUUGAAAGAACAGAGCAAAGUUGAAGAAUCAUUAAAAUCUGAACUUGAACGUCUCAAGGCAGAGAUUACAGAGAAUAAUGAUUUUAAAAUACGCCAUAAAGAAGAGCUAAGUAAAUCUGAAGCUCUCCGGAAAGAAGAGCUUGAAAGCGUCCGAACAACAGCUGCUGGAAAAGAGACAGAAUUGAAAUCCAAAUUGGAAGAUUAUGGACUAAAAAUCAAAGAUAGAGACCAAUUAAAUGAACAAGUACAACAACUUCAGAAAGAAUUGCAGGUGGCAAAGUCAGAGAUUGCUGAACAGGACGCUCUCUUCAACAGAAAGAGAAAGGCGCUCAAAAAGAGUUCGAACGAGAAGGUUCACUUCAGCGGUCUCUUCAAGGUCUGGAAGCGAAAGGCAAAGAAAUUCUUGCUCUAGAAACACAAGUCAAGGACCUCCACCACAAAUUGCUCCUGGCUGAGGCUAAGUCUAUACAAAAGGGUGAGGCUGAUACGGAGGGAGUAGAAGUAAAAUCCCGAGAUAUUGGAUUAAACUUUUCAACUCCAACAAAAAGGAAGCACAAGAAGAACAAAGAAGCAACAGCUGCAGCAGCAUCCACGCCACCUUCAUCUUCUACUUCCCAAACACAGAUUCAAACUACUGAGGUUUCUUCAAUAUCCUCUUUGAAGCAUAUUUUCGUAGUAGCAAUUAUAUCUAUUAUACUUGGAAUAUAUCUGGGGAAAAGGUAUUAAAUUUUCUUUUUUUCUUCCCUUAAUUAGAAAAGACGUCCUUAUUUGGAAGCCCCAUCUUUGUAAUAUCUUUCGAGUUUAUGUUUUUAAAUUUGGUUAGGGAAUUGGUUUUUUU
Molecule: RNA transcript, 6918 nt
Organism: Cucurbita pepo subsp. pepo (vegetable marrow)
Lineage: Eukaryota; Viridiplantae; Streptophyta; Magnoliopsida; Cucurbitales; Cucurbitaceae
Source: RefSeq, a predicted model, not a curated record